GCACCCGCGGUAAUUCCAGCACCAAUAGCGUAUAUUAAUGCUGCUGCUGUUAAAAAGCUCGUAGUUGGAUCAAGAGUUCGACAGUGCAAGGUGGCCUCACCUGUGUCGGUCGGCCCUGCUGAUCGUCACGGUGGCGGAUCAACCCCUUGCGCCAAACUGUCGUCUCUAACUGACCGAAACGGUUCCCUGUGAGUAGGCCACUUUAUUGCGGCUGAAAGCGUCGACGCAUCCACCAUAUGCAUACGGGACGUCGGUCACUGUUACUGUGAACAAACCAGCGUGUCCAAAACAGUCUUUCGACUGAAUCGUUCUAGCAUGGAAUAACAAGGGAUCGAUUCUCUCGGUUCUUUUUGUGGGUUUUUAACCCGAGAAGGAGUAAUUCAGGCCACGGUGUCUGAGUUGUGUUUCCCGAGGCUUCGGCUGAGGCCCCAAUUAGGACGUGGCCCUGCGGGAUCAAUAGGGACUGCCGGGGUCGUACGUACUCCCACGUCAGAGGUGAAAUUCUUAGAUCGUGGGAAGACGAACUUCUGCGAAAGCAUUCGACAAGAAUGUCUUCAUUAAUCAAGAACGAGAGUGUGGGGAUCGAAGAUGAUCAGAUACCGUCGUAGUCCACUACUGUAAACGAUGCCGUCUCAGGAUCGAGAGGGCUCCUUCAUGACCCUCACGGCACUAACCCCUGAAACGAGAAAUCAAAGAUUAUGGGUUCAGGGGGGAGUACAUUCGCAAGGCUGAAACUUAAAGGAAUUGACGGAAUGACACCACCAGGCGUGGAGUAUGCGGCUUAAUUUGACCCAACACGGGGAAUUUUACUAGGUCAGGACAAUGCCAGGAUUGACAGAUUGAGAGCUCUUUCUCGAUCCAUUGUGUGGUGGUGCAUGGCCGCUCCUGGUUGGUGGAGUGAUUUGUCUGGUUGAUUCCGUUAACGAACGAGAUCUCGACCCUUAAAUAGGUAUGCUCGUCGACGUCGGUUUGCCUUGCAUUCGCUUGCGAGAUUGGAGCAUUCCUAGACAGGGCAACAACUUCUUAAGGGGACUGCGUGCGCCGUUAGCACGCGGAAGAGCGAGCCAAUAGCAGGUCUGUGAUGCUCCUAAAUGUCCUAGGCUGCACGCGCACUACACUGACGCAUUAAACGAGUCUGUUUGCCUUACGGCAACCUAUCUUGAAGAGGACGGGAAAUCUUUUGAACUUGCAUCGUGAUGAG
RNAcentral lists this ribosomal RNA (1201 nucleotides) under uncultured eukaryote. RNAcentral's name for it is "partial small subunit ribosomal RNA". It matches the Rfam family "Eukaryotic small subunit ribosomal RNA", at positions 570 to 1574 of the family's 1831-position model. The record is from RNAcentral.